UUUGCAUACUUACUAAACUUCAGAUCAUCCUAAUAUGAAGCAGAGCUUAAGGUCUCUAGUUAUGCUUAUCAAAGUCGUAUCUUAAAUUCGGGCACAACUUCAAUAAGUUCAAAGAUAGCACCAGUAGGCUUUCAUGUUUCCUGAUUUCUUUUAAAAACAGAUCAUGUCUUAUAUUGGACAAAGUAUGGGUUUAUUUCUAAAGAGCAAAUACUAUGUGGUUAACAGCUUUAUAAUUCCACCAAGCCUAUCACCAAGACAAACAUAGCACAGCAGAAAAUUAUUUAACGCAAAUAUGUUAACUGAAAUAACGUAAGCAAUAAUAACUGACUUCAUGAGCAUACCAUUGGCUGUCAAUCAAUCCCCCAUUAUUACAUUAACUCAGUAGUCAAAUAUAUUAACUGUGUAGUCAAAUCAAGUGAGUGAAUUAACCCUUCGGCUUAAGGAUUAAUUCACACAGGGAGUGAAUUAACCCUUCGGCUUAAGGGUUAAUUUACUAUGGAAAGGCAGACUUUUUAGAAUAUUAUCAGAUUAUUCUUAUAAUAAUUAAACAUAUUUAAUGCUUUGG
This is a non-coding RNA of Pelobates cultripes (western spadefoot toad), 565 nucleotides long. The record is from the annotation of a GenBank genome assembly. NCBI's taxonomy places the organism in Eukaryota, Metazoa, Chordata, Amphibia, Anura, Pelobatidae.